This 798-nucleotide ribosomal RNA is filed under the name uncultured Proteiniphilum sp. RNAcentral describes it as "bacterial SSU rRNA". It matches the Rfam family "Bacterial small subunit ribosomal RNA", at positions 8 to 795 of the family's 1533-position model. The record is from RNAcentral. Lineage: Bacteria; Pseudomonadati; Bacteroidota; Bacteroidia; Bacteroidales; Dysgonomonadaceae.
AGAGUUUGAUCAUGGCUCAGGAUGAACGCUAGCGAUAGGCCUAACACAUGCAAGUCGAGGGGCAGCACAUGAAGUAGCAAUACGAAUGGUGGCGACCGGCGCACGGGUGAGUAACGCGUAUGCAACCUGCCUACAACAGGGGAAUAACCCGUUGAAAGACGGACUAAUACCCCAUAACACAGGGAUCCCGCAUGGGAAUAUUUGUUAAAGAUUUAUCGGUUGUAGAUGGGCAUGCGUUCCAUUAGCUUGUUGGUGAGGUAACGGCUCACCAAGGCAACGAUGGAUAGGGGAACUGAGAGGUUUAUCCCCCACACUGGUACUGAGACACGGACCAGACUCCUACGGGAGGCAGCAGUGAGGAAUAUUGGUCAAUGGACGCAAGUCUGAACCAGCCACGUCGCGUGAAGGAAGACGGCCCUACGGGUUGUAAACUUCUUUUGUAAGGGAAUAAAGUGUAGUACGUGUACUAUUUUGCAUGUACCUUACGAAUAAGGAUCGGCUAACUCCGUGCCAGCAGCCGCGGUAAUACGGAGGAUCCGAGCGUUAUCCGGAUUUAUUGGGUUUAAAGGGUGCGCAGGCGGGAGAUUAAGUCGGCGGUGAAAUUUUGCAGCUCAACUGUAAAAGUGCCUUCGAAACUGGUUUCCUUGAGUGUGGAUGAAGUAGGCGGAAUUUGUGGUGUAGCGGUGAAAUGCAUAGAUAUCACGAGGAACUCCGAUUGCGCAGGCAGCUUACUAAACCAUAACUGACGCUCAGGCACGAAGGCGUGGGGAUCAAACAGGAUUAGAUACCCUGGUAGUC